Molecule: long non-coding RNA, 2735 nt
Filed under: Homo sapiens (human)
Lineage: Eukaryota; Metazoa; Chordata; Mammalia; Primates; Hominidae
Description: HSALNT0409498
Source: RNAcentral
ACCUUCCGCACCUGAGAUAAACGCUGAGGACGCAAGAGCGAUUUUACCAGAGGAAAACAGUCACAGAGCCGUCGCUGGACUCAUAUUAAACAGUACUGCGACAGAACGAAAAAGCAAGAUAAAAAUAGUAUGGCCGGAUCUUUUUUAAAAUGGGACCACUGCGCAAGUUACGCCUGCGUAUUGCAGGGAAGGACCGUAAAAGGCUGUGGUGCUGAUCAACGAAGGAUUUCUCGGAGAAAAUUCCUCCUUUGCGGAAAUGUCCGUAGAAACGCACCUUUUUUUUUUCCUGCCAGGACAAACCGCCGGCGAUAUCCGUUCAUGUGAAAGUGUUUACUAACAUUCUCUGAAGACUCACUGGGUUCUCAGCUCGAGAACGUUCCUGUCACAAGACGUUUAGGAGGCAGGAUGCCGGUACAAUGUAUUUAUGUUCUUGUAAACUGUUGCAUUAACAGUGCACUUCAAGUGGGCACAUUUGUCGUUGGAUUUUUUACCAACUCGAGCUUGGACUUUAGGACGGGGAAAAGAAGUGCUAAAUGUUUUUGAAUAAAACCUUUACUGCACAUGAUAAACAUCCCUUAAAAAUUACCUAGGAGCACCCUAAAUUUUAAAAUGAUCACAAAGACCUGGACAGAUUACAGUAAACCUUCAACAUCGCUAAACACACGUACCAUAAAUCAAAAGAAACACACUGCUAAUGAUCCGUUUUUUGAUGUGGAAAUAUCAUGCUGUUUUUAAGGGAAAUUAUACUUUAUUGCGAUGUUUUAUUUCAAAACAAGAUGUUACACUUUAUUUCCUAUAAUUUUAUUUACAAUAUUUUACACCCGUUAAGCAAAAAUCCCCCUACAUUGCUAUUCUGUUUUUUUUUAAUCAGUUCACUACUGUAGUAUCUUUUUGUUCUCCAUAUAUUUUUGAAAAAUACGCAAAAGGAAGUCUGUCCCAGGAAGUUUUCAAACCUCUCUUGGCCAGAGAACAUCAGUGGGAGUGAUUGGAGGCCCUGGAUGGGAAGUCCCGCCAAGCUGGAACAGCUGAGCCAUCCAAACAGCAAGGAUGACAACCUUCCCUUUCUCCUAAGAACUCUGCCCCAUUCAAGCUUGGCCCAACACUGUUGCCAGGGGCUGGCUGGAAUUCCAAGCUGGUGAGUCUUAUCCUAUGAGGUGCCAUGAAAGUGGGGCCCACAGAAGGAUGCUGCUCAGCUUCCUGGAUUCAGCUCUCUUCCUAAGGUUAUGUACAAAAAUCUUAUCUCUCACUUUGCCUGAGUUGCAGCUACCUUUGCUGGUGAUCCUGGACCCAAAGUGUGCCAGCCUCUCCUGAUACUCUGUGUGUACCUGAGCAGCUAUUCUGCCAAGACUUCACACAGCUCUGUGCAUGAAACCCAAGGCCUUAGUGAAGUGGGAUCAUGAGGGGAUCUCCUAACUGGAGUGUUAAAAGAUCCUUAGGAGAAACAUUGAGUAUUAUUUCCCAGGGUGUACAUUCGCUCACCACUUCCCUGUGUUAGGGGAGGUUCACUUGGCCACUUGUUACUCAUGUUGUUGUUAUUGUUUAAGUAUUUAUUUAGAUGAUCCAUUAGAUGAUCCAUUAAAUGCCCAAAGUGGGGUUUUGAAGUCGACAAUUAUUAUUGUGUUGGGGUCUAUCUCUCUCGUUAGCUUAAUAAUCUUUUCUUUGUAAAUCUUGAUUCUCCAGCAUUGGGUGCAUGUAAAUUUAAAAUUGUUAUAUCUUUUUGCUGAAUUGAUCCCCUUAUCAUCAUUUAAUGGCCUCACUUUUGUCUCGAAAUCUAUUUUACCUGAUAUAAGUAUAGCUACUGCUCCUCUAUUUUGGUUUCCGUUGGCACAUAUUUGUGUCCUUAUAAGGUGAGGUAAAUUCUCUUGUAGACAGCAUGUAGUUGUCUUCCCUUUUCAUUUAUUCACCUACUCUACAUCUUUUGGUUAAAAAAUUUAGUUUAUUUACAUUCAUUAUUAUAGAUGAGCAGGGACUUACUACUGACGUUUAUUUGUAUUUUUUUAUUAGUCAUUUUUUUCUUCAUGUCGUUUUAUACAAGUGACUUUUUUUUCUGCUUCUAGGGUUUAAUUUCUUUAUUUUUAUAUAUUGUGUAUCAAUUAUAGGUUUUGUAUAUGUGCUUACUAGUUUGCUUACAUAUAACAUGUUAUAACCAAUUAUUUUAAAUAAAAACAACUAUAAUCAAAAUUUUAAAACAUAGAAAAGUAAAAAUCUCUACACUUUAUAUUCUCCUCUGUUUUAUGUCUUUUGGUUGUCUUGUCUUUGUAUAUUAUCUGUCUCUUAAAUGAUGUAAUUAUCAGUUUUAACAUAUUGCUUCUUUAGUCUUUCUACUAAAGAUAUGAGUGGUUUGGACAACACGAUUGUAACAUUACAGUAUUUUCUACUUGUGUAUUUACUAGUAACAUUGAGUUUUAUAACUUCAGAUGACUUGUUGCUCAUUUCUGUUUUUUACUUUUCAGAUUUCAAACAUUUAGGUUCAAGGGAUGCAGAUGCAGGUUUGUUACAUGGAUAAACUGCAAGUUGUGUAGAUUUGGUGCACAGAUUAUCUUGUUACCCAAAUAAUGAGCACAGUAUGCUGUAAGCAGUUUUCUUUGCUCAGCCUCUUCUGGCCCUCCACCCUGAAGUAGAUCCUGUGUCCAUUAUUGUCUUAUUUCCAUGUGUACUCAGUUUUAAGCUUAUACAUGUAAGUGAGAACAUGCUAUUUGGUUCUCUCUUCCUGUGUUAAUUUGCUUAGGAUAAUG